ACGGGAGGCAGCAGUGGGGAAUUUUGGACAAUGGAGGAAACUCUGAUGCAGCGACGCCGCGUGAGUGAAGAAGUAUUUCGGUAUGUAAAGCUCUAUCAGCAGGAAAGAAAAUGACGGUACCUGACUAAGAAGCCCCGGCUAACUACGUGCCAGCAGCCGCGGUAAUACGUAGGGGGCAAGCGUUAUCCGGAUUUACUGGGUGUAAAGGGAGCGUAGACGGUAUUGCAAGUCUGAAGUGAAAACCCGGGGCUCAACUCCGGGAUUGCUUUGGAAACUGUAGUACUAGAGUGCAGGAGAGGUAAGUGGAAUUCCUAGUGUAGCGGUGAAAUGCGUAGAUAUUAGGAGGAACACCAGUGGCGAAGGCGGCUUACUGGACUGUAACUGACGUUGAGGCUCGAAAGCGUGGGGAGCAAACAGGAUUAGAUACCCUGGUA
RNAcentral lists this ribosomal RNA (434 nucleotides) under uncultured Lachnospiraceae bacterium. Its description in RNAcentral is "partial 16S ribosomal RNA". It matches the Rfam family "Bacterial small subunit ribosomal RNA", at positions 341 to 792 of the family's 1533-position model. Lineage: Bacteria; Bacillati; Bacillota; Clostridia; Lachnospirales; Lachnospiraceae. The record is from RNAcentral.